UCAUCCCAUGGUUUUUGGUUAUGAUUUACCUAUGUAUGAGUAGGGUGGACAGUGUAAUCAACAGUCCCUGUCUAUGCCGUAUUCUGAUAGUUCAGAGGUCAAAAGAACAUUCUAUCA
Molecule: long non-coding RNA, 117 nt
Organism: Gopherus evgoodei (Goodes thornscrub tortoise)
Lineage: Eukaryota; Metazoa; Chordata; Testudines; Testudinidae
Exons: 3
Source: RefSeq, a predicted model, not a curated record